This is a long non-coding RNA of Gadus morhua (Atlantic cod), 1887 nucleotides long. RefSeq lists it as uncharacterized. The record is from RefSeq and is a predicted model, not a curated record. The transcript is spliced from 6 exons. NCBI's taxonomy places the organism in Eukaryota, Metazoa, Chordata, Actinopteri, Gadiformes, Gadidae.
GUAGAUGACCAUCAAACUCUCCUAUGAUAAUGUAAGAUACACUUUAUUGUUUCAGUUGCAAUAGGAGCAAACAAAAUAUUGAUCAUAGGAUAUAGCUAUAUACUGGAUAUAUAAACUAUAUAUAAAAACUCACCAUGGGCAAAUCUGGCACUCAGUGUAGAAGCUUUACGUCAAAGCUUUAUGACAUGAAUAAAUUAUUGCUUGGACUGUUAACUGCAAUUCUGUGGAACUCUUCUUUGAGAAGUCUGCUGGGUCCGUGACUUGGGAACACUACAAACGUGUAUAGUAGCCGUUUCAGUGCAAGUGUCACAUUUCGAACAUCCCUUGGACACAUGCUCUGCAUCACCAACGUUUUACAAAAAACUGCCGUUGGCAAAAAAACGCAGUGCAAUACAAAUAAUUUCCUCGGAACUGAGAGCGUGUCCACGAUGUGUCAUGUGAACUGUGUGAGGGCUGAGAAUAUUGUUUAGAUAAAUUAUAGAUGAUGCAGAGAAACGGAAACGCUCAAACAGGUACUCAUCAGGGAAUGAUAAAAAAUCCAAUCGGGGCCUAAUAACCCUCUCCCGACGGAGAUUUCUGCGGAGUAUCUGCGCCUCGACAUCCACUGGCUCUUCAAUAAAAGGACACGCCAUGUCUGCCACUGCCUUCCGUCUGCAGGCUUCAACUUGAGAGCAGGUGAAACUCAGGGUUAGUUGAAGAAAACCUGCCAGCGAGCAGGUUAGUUUCACAGAGUAUGUUGCUAGGGUAACUGACUCAGAGUUAAGCUGAACUGGCUAUGUGAAACCGAAAAACCUGAGUUUCCCUCAUCUCGGGUUUAACUAACUCCGAGUUAUCAACAAGCUCUGAGUUAAAACCUUAACUAUAGGUUGACCAACUCUGAGCUGUAAAAGUCUGAGUUUUCGGUUUCAGAACAGGUGAUAACGCUUAGUUCAAUCAACUCUGAGUCAAGGUAACUCUGAGUGAAGCUCGUGCAUGAGGAUAUAAAAAGCCCUCAUCAAUGGAACACAGAUAACAUGAUUCACCAUGGCAACAAGUACUAACAAGCCUCGAUCCUCCUACUUCUCCCCAGCGGAGUUGCAAAUCUUAAUGACUGCAUAUGCAGAAAGCGAGCAUAUCUUUUUACUAAAAAUCAAUACUUUGGCAGCAGCCAAAAAGCGGGAGCUCGCGUGGGAAAAAAUAGCUGACCGAGUCAAUGUGUGCAACCCAACAGGCCCCAAACUGACUUGGCAGCAACUAAAAAUGAUACAUAAAUGUAGUUCAAACAGACAACAGAAAAAAGGCAGAGGCACGCAAAACAGGUGGCGGUCCACCACCACCACCUCUCACAGAGGCUGAAGAGAUGGCAUCUCUGGGGGGAGCUCAUCGGAACCAGCCACGCCCCCAUGACACAGGGGCCUACAUAAGAGUUACUGAUGAUGGUGUAAUCUGUCUCGUGGAGCCUUCUGCCAUAACACACCUCCAUGCUGUUGAUGAUGAUGAAGACACCUUAUCAGCUGCCACAGAGAGUGAAGUAAUAACUUUGGUUUCAGUUAAUUGCUCCACAAUACAACUUGCAACUUCUUUCUCUCUAACAGAGCAAUGCCGGAAGUUACAAUGAGGAAGAAGGUCCAUCAACCUCAACAGCACAGCUUACCUCAGUAAGAUGUUGUUCAGCGUUGACCCACAACUUACAAUGACACUAAGUAGACAUGGCACUGUGAAAUUCAACGUCAUUUAUGUUCCUAUAGCUCCCUGUGAAACAACUUUACAAAGUAUAUAUUUAGAAGCCCAAAUAAACAAAUCCCACCUAGAAAUGGAGCACAUAAGGCUGCAGAUCACCAAAAGAAAAAAGGAAAUACAACUGCUGGACCAUCAGUUAAAGGAAGUAAAGAAGACCCCAUAAAAUGA